Long non-coding RNA from Ctenopharyngodon idella (grass carp), 623 nucleotides. RefSeq lists it as uncharacterized. The record is from RefSeq and is a predicted model, not a curated record. The transcript has 3 exons. Lineage: Eukaryota; Metazoa; Chordata; Actinopteri; Cypriniformes; Xenocyprididae.
CAGACCACCAUCACUUCUGAUAAACUUUUUGUUCCAGUGACACUCCGAGAUCCCCAAUUAAAUAAAAGAAACUUCAAAAAGCCUGGUUUAAAACUGCACUGUAGAAUUAAAUUGGUACAUGUUCAGUUUGUAUAUUCUGUCACUUGAAAUGGUAGUCAAGUCGAUAAUGUGGACAAAACCUUCAUCUAAGAGUUCAUUUAGAUGAUAUAGCAGCACAGAAGGGGCUGUCCUAAAGUUAAUUCAGUACAUCAGGGUGCUUUCUCACAGAUCUGCAGCUAUCAGACAGACUGAGCCGACUCUUCUGCAAGACUGCUUGCUAUACUAAAUUAAUUUGACAACAUUAAAACAGUACUGCCAACUUCUGAAAAAGAAACACACAGAGCUCAAUCACAAGGACUUUUAUGAAGUUUGGCAUCUCUUUUGAGUGGAAACUCCAGGUCUUAUGAGUCUAAAAUGGAGGACCUUCAAACAAAAGAGACUGAGACUGCAGGAAGCUGAACAGAUCUUUGGGCUGAAAUGCACAGUCCACGCAGGCUUGGACCGAGUGCUGGAGAACCGUGUUCACUGGGCCCGGCCCGAAAUGAUCAGGCAGCUGCAACAACAGCUUACGGUCCAGGUGUGGC